RNAcentral lists this ribosomal RNA (482 nucleotides) under uncultured bacterium. RNAcentral's name for it is "partial 16S ribosomal RNA". It matches the Rfam family "Bacterial small subunit ribosomal RNA", at positions 36 to 507 of the family's 1533-position model. The record is from RNAcentral.
CUUUCCCUCUUUCUUCCUGCCUUCCCCCUGCACGUCGACCGGUAACAGGUCUUCGGAUGCUGACGAGUGGCGAACGGGUGAGUAAUACAUCGGAACGUGCCCGAUCGUGGGGGAUAACGGAGCGAAAGCUUUGCUAAUACCGCAUACGAUCUACGGAUGAAAGCAGGGGACCGCAAGGCCUUGCGCGGACGGAGCGGCCGAUGGCAGAUUAGGUAGUUGGUGGGAUAAAAGCUUACCAAGCCGACGAUCUGUAGCUGGUCUGAGAGGACGACCAGCCACACUGGGACUGAGACACGGCCCAGACUCCUACGGGAGGCAGCAGUGGGGAAUUUUGGACAAUGGGCGAAAGCCUGAUCCAGCCAUGCCGCGUGCAGGAUGAAGGCCUUCGGGUUGUAAACUGCUUUGGUACGGAACGAAAAGACUCUUUCUAAUAAAGAGGGUCCAUGACGGUACCGUAAGAAUAAGCACCGGCUAACUACGUG